Long non-coding RNA from Armigeres subalbatus, 207 nucleotides. RefSeq lists it as uncharacterized. Lineage: Eukaryota; Metazoa; Arthropoda; Insecta; Diptera; Culicidae. The transcript has 3 exons. The record is from RefSeq and is a predicted model, not a curated record.
AUACCGUGCACAGCAGGCAAACCCCCUUGUUAUUUAAAUAUCUACGAUUAUAGUUAAAAGUUAUAGUGUGUAUUAUACUAGUGUUGGCUUACAUCUAUUGAAUUAUUCUAACCUAAACGCUACGCUAUACUAUACAUACCUACAUGCAAAGAAAGUACGGAAGUGUACUUUAGCACCGAGAUUAGUGAUUAUCGAACCAUAUCGGCU